UUUUCCCCCAAUUUCUUCUUCUUCUUUAUUCCCCGAUUUCUUCAGCUGCUGCUCUAUCCUACUCACUCCAUCUUCUUCCCUCCUCCAUCUGCAUCGUCGUCCCUGUCAACGAAGCACCGAACGAGACAAACAUUGUUGUCCCUGCAUCCGAGCAUAUCAUUAAUUUUCUAGGCGCGACAAAGACGUAAUGCUUGGGAAGAUUUGGGGAAGCAAGAACUUCCAGUGUCUGGGCCGAUCUGGGGGAAAGAAUUUGAAAACUUAGGUGAUUGGGUGUCCAAAAACCAUUGAUGGUGACUUGAAAUGCAAAGAAUUCCCAACAUGUUUUGGGUUUGAUACUGCUUGCAAGAUGACUGCAACUAAAAGAAAUUUUUUACAACUUGAACCCUUAAAUUUCUUUAUGGUUCUUUCCAUAUAUCGUGUAGGAAAUUUUGGAACAACAAUCUUUAUUUUUUAGCAGAUACAAACUUGAACCCCACUAGCUUGAAAAUUGUAUCCAUGUACCUGAUGAUAAUUUUAUUUGUUGAAGCAAUUUUUUUUUCACUGCCACUGUGUUAUAUUUAUAUUCCUAGAAUCAUCUUAUUUACUUGCUAAUUCAUUAUGGUCAUGAACUUAUGAAUUUACUUUAAAGCAUCAACCUUUACAUGUUAAGAGAAGGAACUUCUCAUAGAAAAUUGUUUGCAGAUAAGUUGGUUAAUUGUUGUGUGGGCUAUCAACUAUAACUUGCAAGAAAAUUUGGUGAUGCUAUGUUUUGAUGAAAUAAAGUAUAAUAUUCAAAGUACCUUGUCCUGCUUAAAAAACUAAUUAGGUGUUAAAGUUAUUAUUCUAACAGGUUUAUUUCUUGAGAAA
Long non-coding RNA from Humulus lupulus (European hop), 846 nucleotides. RefSeq lists it as uncharacterized. The record is from RefSeq and is a predicted model, not a curated record. The transcript has 2 exons. NCBI's taxonomy places the organism in Eukaryota, Viridiplantae, Streptophyta, Magnoliopsida, Rosales, Cannabaceae.